RNA transcript from Mangifera indica (mango), 2724 nucleotides. RefSeq lists it as uncharacterized. The record is from RefSeq and is a predicted model, not a curated record. NCBI's taxonomy places the organism in Eukaryota, Viridiplantae, Streptophyta, Magnoliopsida, Sapindales, Anacardiaceae. The transcript is spliced from 2 exons.
UCUGAUUUUUUAUUCUAGUCUUUCUGUUUGGUAAAGUUUAGAUUUUCCUUGUUGGGGUCGGAUGUGGUUUGUUGUUUGGAAUUUUGACGAUUAGGGGUUCUUAAAUUGCGUUAAAAUCUGGCAGGGUUAGGACCUAUGUGUUGGUAAACUUCAAGGUUAGAUUUUUUUCCUCUUUUUGAAGUUUUUCUUCUCAGUUGUCUUUUGAUUUCUGAUCAUAGUGUUUCUGUUUCAUAAAUUAUUGAUUUCUUGUGGGUGGAAUGCACAAGUUAUAGUCUUAAAUUUGUGAUGAGUUGAGGUUCUAUGAAGGUUGAUUGUUUUGGUUUCUGUUUGAAUUUUUGGUUUAUUUGUUUUGAUCAUGAUGUUUUUCUGUGAUAUCUCUUGUGAGUUUUGGGUUGCAUCUGGCUUUUUGAGGCUUUCAAGAAGAGUGCUUUUGCGUUUCUGAUAUCGGCAUUUACUUUGUCAUUUUGGUUUUUGAGUCUCUCCCAGAUGUUUUCAUUUGUUACGUUUUGAAUUGAUUCUUCGAAUUCAUGAAUUUUUUGGUCAAAAAUACUCUACCAUCUUACAAUUUCAUGAAAUUUUUAUCAAAAGUGGUCUUUUCACAUCAGCAUUCAAGUUUUCAAUUUUAUGGUUUCUUGACUUCUCUUCAGUCUUUGGUUUCUUUAAUUUUUAGCUGCCUGAUAUCUUGGGUUUGGUCCUAUUUUCAAGCUCUGUUCAGUUUCUUGUCUUCAAUUUUGUUGAAUUAGGAUUUCCAAGUAUCAAAAGUUAAGGUUUGUUUCUUCAAUUUGUGCUUUUAAUUUUGUAUCUGACUAAUUUCUUCUUGAAAGGUAGACUGCGUUUCAAAUCUGGGUUCAUGGUCACUGCAACUUAAGUGUCUUUGAGCAUAUUUGAAGUUAUGGUUUUCAAAUGUUUUGAUAUGUUUCCCUUUUCUUACCAUACCAGCUAAAUUUUUUAUGUUCUGAAAUGCUUUUAUUUAAUUGCAUUUGUUUCAUUAGAUUAAGAGUUUUUAUGCCAAACAGGCUGAAAAUCUCUAAUUGAUCAUGGCUGCCAUUAUUGUUUACUUGGUGAACUCUUUUGGUUGUACAUUGUUGUUAUGAUAUGUUUUUCUUGCAUUUGAUUGUGCCUUAAUUGUACUCUAAUAGUAUUAAGCUCUCAAACACCAUAUAUAUGGUCAUAUCCAAUCUUUUCCAUAACUCUUGAACCAAAACUCUUUUGCACACUCAAAUACAAAUUAAAAGUUCUGUAUGGUGAGGCUGGGCAGUUAAGUUGAUUGUUGCAAAGUGGAUGUUUUUCAAAAAUCAACGCUUUUUUAUUAGAUAAAUCCACAAUUUUUAGUUUUUCUGGCUUGGUUGAAGUUAAAUGGGGCUGCAUUGGUUAGGAUAUAAUUUUCUAGAAUUUGUUGAGUUUUGAGAUUUCUGACACUAGAGUCAAUGUUGGUCGCUUUCAAGUUUUGUAAAAUUUCUUGACUACUUUGGUCAAUGUGGUUGUUUCAUGUAGCAAAAAAUGAUACUAUAGGUUAUGCGAUCGUCGUGGUUUGUUGUUCUCUAAUUUUGUAUUUGGAGUAUCAGCAUUUAAGGUUAUGUCUAGAUUGCUCUCAGUUUACAAGGUUUCCAAUUUCAAACCAUCUUUGGUGAAAAUCUAAACAUCUUUUUUAAUGAACCAAUCGGCUUAACCUUCUCUUAGCAUUCUCUCUUGCACUAGUAAGGUACAGUAACUCUGCCCUUCUCAUUAUAAAUUUCUGUGUCAAACGUAUACCAUAGCCGUGAAGAUUGUUGAUAUUUUUGCAAAAUUUGGACGUUUUAGAGAGUUACCAUUGAUUAUUCUUCCCUGCCUUGUUUCAAAACAUCUUGCAUAUACGUUUAUUGUGCUACAGUUAUAAAGUCUUGUGUCCCUAUUGCCUCAGUAAGGUACCUUCUCAAGACCAUCUCCAACCCCAGUGUAUAUGGCUUUUCCUCUGAUGACUGGUUUGAGAGUAAGAAUUAAAUUGAUGCAGUGAAGUAAAAGGAGAUGGCAGGAAAUGUAUAUAGGAAGAAAUCUGGAUCUGUAACUCUGACGGAAAGCGGAGGUGACAGCAAAUCAGAAGAAAUUGCAAGAGGUGAUGGCAUGACAAUAGGGGCCAUGAAAGAUGAAAUAGCUAAGUUAGCUGGUGGGUGGGCUAAUGGAGAGAUUAUGACAAAACCAAGUAAGUCAGGAGACAAGGUGCAGAUUAUCGGUGGAGAAGCACCGACAGACACAGAUCCAAACAGUGGUUCCAAGAGAGAGCAGUCAUUUGCAAAGUAUUCUGUAUGACGAUGGUGACAAGGAGGAGUUGAAUUUGACGAAAGAGUAGUAUGAGCUUGAAAUUUUGCCAACUGAGGCUUUCAACUUGAAAGCUGGUUCCAGUUCCAAAAAAAAAGGGUGGGGGAUCGGAUGGUAAUGAAGUCAGUCCACUUAAGCUGCCAGAGACGGCAUUUCAGGUUGAAGAUGCUCAAGAAUUGAUGAAGAUUCCAGUAUUAAAUGUUAAAGCUAAAGAAGUGAUGACAACUCCAGAGUCAAAGAAUAGGUGUAAUUUUCUCAUUUUCAGAAGGAUGUUAUAAGUGGCUGUAUGUUCCUCAAUGUUUUAUCAUUUGACAUUAUCCUGAUAAGAUCAAGUUUUACAUUGGAAAGCUUCAGUUGUUGUAGUUUUUGAGUUUUGGGGUUCUGUUUCUGGGAUUUUUCUGAAAAACGUAUCAUCAGUUCCAAAUUUUA